This 253-nucleotide ribosomal RNA is filed under the name uncultured bacterium. RNAcentral's name for it is "partial 16S ribosomal RNA". It matches the Rfam family "Bacterial small subunit ribosomal RNA", at positions 524 to 776 of the family's 1533-position model. The record is from RNAcentral.
UACGGAGGGUGCAAACGUUGCUCGGAAUCAUUGGGCGUAAAGCGCGUGUAGGCGGCUCGGAAAGUCGGAUGUGAAAGCCCUGGGCUUAACCUAGGAAGUGCAUUCGAAACUCUCGAGCUUGAGUUCUGGAGAGGAAGGCGGAAUUCUCGGUGUAGAGGUGAAAUUCGUAGAUAUCGAGAGGAACACCGGUGGCGAAGGCGGCCUUCUGGACAGUGACUGACGCUGAGACGCGAAAGCGUGGGGAGCAAACAGG